RNAcentral lists this ribosomal RNA (483 nucleotides) under uncultured bacterium. RNAcentral's name for it is "partial 16S ribosomal RNA". It matches the Rfam family "Bacterial small subunit ribosomal RNA", at positions 28 to 507 of the family's 1533-position model. The record is from RNAcentral.
GACGAACGCUGGCGGCGUGCUUAACACAUGCAAGUCGAACGGUAAGGCCUUUCGGGGUCCUACGAGUGGCGAACGGGUGAGUAACACGUGAGCAACCUGCCCUUGACUUCGGAAUACCAGCUGGAAACAGCUGCUAAUACCGGAUAUGACCCUGGUCCUCCUGGACUGGGGUGGAAAGCUCCGGCGGUCAGGGAUGGGCUCGCGGCGGAUCAGCUUGGUGGUGAGGUAAUGGCUCACCAAGGCGUCGACGGGUAGCCGGCCUGAGAGGGCGACCGGCCACACUGGGACUGAGAGACGGCCCAGACUCCGACGGAAGGCAGCAGUGGGGAAUUGUGGACCAUGGGGGCAACCCUGAUCCAGCCAUGCCGCGUGCAGGAAGCAGGCCUUCGGGUUGGAAACCGCUUUUGUUCGGGAAGAAAUCCUCUGGGCUAAUACCCCGGGGGGAUGACGGUACCUGAAGAAUAAGCACCGGCGAACUACGUG